RNAcentral lists this ribosomal RNA (405 nucleotides) under Triticum aestivum (bread wheat). RNAcentral's name for it is "partial small subunit ribosomal RNA". Lineage: Eukaryota; Viridiplantae; Streptophyta; Magnoliopsida; Poales; Poaceae. The record is from RNAcentral.
AUGUUACUUGCAAAUUUUGCAUUGGCAAAAAGUGUUACAAAUCCAUCUGCCGUCAGUGCGUACCGGGAUUGGUCCAGCGCAGCUAAAGAUUGUACCUGUGCUAAACCAAACCUACAGAUUGGAAUUUACCAUGGUAAAUGUGGGUUGAAAAUUGCCAUGACACCUCUGAAAACUGUAAGAUGGUUGACCAGAACAGCUCUUCUUUGCAAAGAUGGCAAACUGUAUGAAUGUGCCAUGGCAAAAAUUGUUCUCCCUAAGCAAACAACAUGGCACAAAUACAGUGGGGGCGCAUAUCAAACAUGUAAACUUGCCAUCAAUGGAAAAUGCCCAUGGCAACUACAAAUUAUCCACACCAAUUCUAAAGCCAAAAGGAAAAUUUACAGGUUGAAAGCUGUACUCAGAUGA